RNAcentral lists this ribosomal RNA (252 nucleotides) under uncultured bacterium. RNAcentral describes it as "partial 16S ribosomal RNA". It matches the Rfam family "Bacterial small subunit ribosomal RNA", at positions 524 to 776 of the family's 1533-position model. The record is from RNAcentral.
UACGGAGGAUGCGAGCGUUAUCCGGAUUUAUUGGGUUUAAAGGGUGCGUAGGCGGUUUAUUAAGUCUGGUGUAAAAGGCAGUGGCUCAACCAUUGUAUGCAUUGGAAACUGGUAGACUUGAGUGCAGGAGAGGAGAGUGGAAUUCCAUGUGUAGCGGUGAAAUGCGUAGAUAUAUGGAGGAACACCGGUGGCGAAAGCGGCUCUCUGGCCUGUAACUGACACUGAGGCACGAAAGCGUGGGGAGCAAACAGG